GCAUGCAGUCGCACGCGAACGGAGGANCUUGCUUUUCCNAGUAGAGUGGCGAACGGGUGAGUAAUGUAUGGACAAUCUACCCUUGACUCGGGGACAACCGUUGGAAACGACGGCUAAUACCCGAUAGCCCCGGUAGGGUACAUCCCGGCCGGGUAAAGGUGGCAACACUGGUUGAGGAGGGGUCCAUAUCCCAUCAGCUUGUUGGCGGGGUAAAGGCCCACCAAGGCGACGACGGGUAGCCGAACUGAGAGGUUGAUCGGCCACAUCGGGACUGAGGCACUGCCCGGACUCCUACGGGAGGCUGCAGUCGAGAAUCUUCCGCAAUGGACGCAAGUCUGACGGAGCGACGCCGCGUGAAGGAUGAAGGCCCUCGGGUUGUAAACUUCUGUCACUCGUGAAGAACGUCCAGGUUAGCCCUAGGACUGACGUUAGCGAGAGAGGAAGCCACGGCUAACUUCGUGCCAGCAGCCGCGGUAAUACGAAGGUGGCAACCGUUGCUCGGAUUCACUGGGCAUAAAGCGCGCGUAGGUGGUUAGGCAAGUCAAUGGUGAAAGACCCCGGCCCAACCGGGGAAGUGCCGUUGAAACUGCCUUACUUGAGGACAGGAGGGGAGAGUGGGACCCUUGGCGUAGCGGUGAAAUGCGUANAUAUCAAGAGGAACGCCGGUGGCGAAAGCGACUCUCUGGACUGUUCCUGACACUGANGUGCGAAAGCUAGGGGANCAAACAGNANUAGAUACNNUGGUANUCCUAGCUGUAAACGAUGGGCACUGGGUAGAGGCNGUGCNAGCNNUCUUUGCNNNANNAAAUGUUUUNAGUGCCCNGCCUGGGGAGUAUGGNCGCAAGGCUAAAACUCU
This 856-nucleotide ribosomal RNA is filed under the name uncultured bacterium. Its description in RNAcentral is "partial 16S small subunit ribosomal RNA". It matches the Rfam family "Bacterial small subunit ribosomal RNA", at positions 53 to 903 of the family's 1533-position model. The record is from RNAcentral.